UAAUUUAAGGGUUUCCGCUCCACCGCUUUCACCAGAUUCUCGAUUGUUCUUCACCCUCUCAUAUUCUCUUCAUUCUUCCUUUUGGGAUAGUCACGUUUAGUCCACCGCCUUACGAUCCAACCAGUCGAUCUGCUUCUUCUUGAUCCUUCAUAACCGCCUUCGCAUCAAGUUAGCCUUUCCUUGCAUCUGUGUUUCUAUUUGUUAGCUAUGCACCUCCGCCACCCUUUUCACUUUUGGUCCAGACCACUGAAGAGGACUUUGGAGCAGGUAAGCUUCCUCCCAACGGAUACAUGACGAGAAAGUCUCAUUUUUUCCUCUCUCGCAUCUUCUACACUUUCUCUUCUUCCCACAACUUCUUUUUUAUUAAAUUAACUGAGUUGGGUUUCUUCCACACAACAAGACCGCCAUGAACGAUCGACCCUUUCGAGGAAUUGUCUUCAUGUGUGCCACAAUCUGGAUUUUCAGGCUUCUGCUGAAGCCUUCGCUGGUAAGAUUUUCCAUAUGAAGGGUUGAUUCAUAGAAGGUUGUCGCUUCUUCCCUAUUUUUCUUGAGUUUUCAUCUAUGAUCCUUGAUUUUCAGUUGUUGAUUCCUUCAAUCAGGUGAAUCUUCUCUAUGACAGCUUAGUUGAGUUCUGUACACCAGAGAUUUGGCCGACUGUUUUUUUUUUUAAUAUUUUCAUUAUAUCUCCACAUAUGAUGCUUUAUGAUGUCUAAGAAUCAGUUUUUUUUCCCAAGGUAAUAUCACAUUUUUCUUGAAUUUCUUUGGUUUCUUGCACACAAGUUGUUUUGAUGCAUUGUCUGUAUGUGUAUUCUAAUGCAACCGUCGUAUGAGCGCCAUGAAUGAAACUCCCAAGUAGAAAUUGCACAGACUCACUCUUCCUAACGGUCUCUGUGUUGCCACCGAGUCUAAUCUAGCCUCCCAGACGGCUGCCGUUGGGGUAUGGAUUGAUGCAGGGUCAUAAUUUCAGAUGGAAGGGAACAAUGGGGUUGCUCAGAUAUAUUGCAUUGCAGAACUCGAGUUUUGAUGAGACAUUGAUCAAUCGUGAGCGUGGUAUUAUUCUACAUAAGACGGAAGAGAUGAGAGCACAAACAGAAGAAGUAAUCUUUGAUCAUUUGCAUUCUACUGCUUUCCAAUACACCCCCCCCCCUUGGAAGGACCAUUCUUGGACCUACUGAAAACAUCCAGAAGAUAACUUAAGAUUACAUUUCAACCCACUAUGAAGCUCACAGAAUGGUAAUUUUAGCUUCUGGGACUAUUAAACAUGUGAAGCGAUUAAGGAGCGAAACAUGAUUUGGGAGUAUAUGCUUACACUGUCCGGUGGUAAUGGAAAGAUAGACAAAGACCGAACUUUCUUAGAUGGAGAAGAAUUGUUGGCUACAAAGAAUUUAUGACACAAUCAUGGAGAUGAGGUACCAUAAUACAUGGUCUUAAAGACAUGAGGAACCAAGAUUUACAACCGAUGAUUGCAAACAGGGAAUGAACAAAAAAAAUCACUGGCGGUAAAUAAAGUACUUGGAGCUGAUGACACAAAUGUUCAAAAAGUUACACUUGCCAAGGCUAUCUCUAGCAGCGGUCAGCAAAACAAAAGGCUUGGUUUUAAUUUUGGAUUUAUGUUUUAAUUGAACUGGGGAUUUAAUUCAAAUUACAAGUGACCAUAUCGACCCUCUCUGCAGCCGGUACUUCAAGGAACUAAAAGUGUCGGGGAAUGGUGCAUCAACAUUGUUGCACAUAGCGUUUCAUGAAUGUGAAUCAUAUGGGGGCCAACUACUAUAAGAGGGUUGAUCAAGGAAAAUCUCCAAGGACUGUCAUUUGGAUCAUUUCAUUGGUGUUGAGUGGUGGAGCAUAUCAUAUCUGCAAAUAUAGAUUACUGGAAUUCUUUAAAUUGAAAUUUUGAUGGGUUUCACCAUACCUAGAGGAGGGUAGAAGAAAUUCAGUUCCUUACUUCAAUUUUUUUUCUUCUGUGCCAAUAAGGAUCAGGUUGCUGUCCACCGCUUCUUCUUACUCUCUUCCGAUUAAAAAUCCCUAAAACCACCGCACUUCCCCAUUUCUUCUCCUCACCGUCGAUCCGCACUCAGUCUCCUCUGUCUUUUCCAGCCCUAAAUUUGUUGACGGAAUAUCUGUCGAUUUUAUAGAUCGUUCUUCCUUCGAAGUCGACACAUAAAUCCGUUUUCCCUCUUAUCCCAUCAAAUAUCUCUCUCCGUCGAUUAUCUAUUGAUUUUUGCUUCGUAGAUGAAAAUACAAAUCAAUUUACCAAUGGUUGAUUGACAAGUGGGCGCUCCCUUCGCCAGCCUACUAGCGACGUCUACCAUGUUCACGUGAAUGUAUUAUGCUUCCAAGAACAUCGGCCAUUGAGUUUCCCCCCCAAAAUUAAUCAAACCUCACUAUCCAGUUUUUUCUUUCGUACCUUUCUACCUUGAUAAUCGAUUCGUAAGCCCUAAUCGGUUGAACUCUUUCUCCGAUUUGAAGUUCGUGAAUUUUAGAGUAAACUAUGAAGUAUGAACUAUUGAGAGGUGGCAAAGUGAAACAUAUAUAUUCGUUGGUGUAAUAGAAGUACAUGAGACCCAGGCGUGAUUGGAUUGACAAGGGGUUGAGGUGGAUCUGAAAUGAGGUUAAGGUAAGUAAAGUUCUGUUAAGUGGGAAAGGCGGAGCCUAUGUUUAAAGGAGGAGACCGAGAUAGACAUGUCGUUUUCUCUCUCAUUGGCAUGUUUUUGCCAUUUCAUACUCGUUGAGUUGGACAACGCGAGAUGGAACUCGACAAUUUGAGUGGAGCUCGACACCUCUCCUCCAAGGACUUAUGGUUAUGAUUUAUGGAAUGUUUGACAUUUAUAAGAGUAUGUAACCGUUUGUAGUUUUAAUUACUGAUUUUUGAUCAAACCAUCAUAAUGAUUUGAUGUUGUUUUUAA
Molecule: non-coding RNA, 2903 nt
Organism: Lactuca sativa (garden lettuce)
Lineage: Eukaryota; Viridiplantae; Streptophyta; Magnoliopsida; Asterales; Asteraceae
Source: RefSeq, a predicted model, not a curated record